This 1064-nucleotide long non-coding RNA is filed under the name Anas platyrhynchos platyrhynchos (common mallard). RNAcentral describes it as "lncRNA (ENSAPLG00000022831.1)". Lineage: Eukaryota; Metazoa; Chordata; Aves; Anseriformes; Anatidae. The record is from RNAcentral.
UCUGCAAGAAUGGGCUGGAGGAGUUCAGCCUGAAAGCCCAGCAGGGAAAGGUCAUCUACGCUCUGGUCCUGAACAUCACCUCCAGAAGUGCUGGGACGUACACGUGUGGGUACCAGCAGAGGAACAAGAAAAACUGGGUGAGGAACUCUGCUCUCAGUGCUCCCCAGACCUUGUCUGUGGCAGGUGAGACAUGGCCUUAGGGUGGUGAGGGUAGAAGUUUUCAGAAAACUGCUGGGGCUGGUGCUGUGUGCUGCAGCAGGCAGGGCAUGGCUCUGGGAUGGUUCCCCCUCAGGAGUGUUCCCUCUCUUCAGAGGCAGCCCCUACAGAGAGAAAGCUGCUCUCCAGGGCUGUCCCCGUCCCUGCAGCAGCAGCUCAGCUGAGGCAUGGGGCUGUGCAGUUCCCAUGCAAAGAGAGCAAGAGCUGGGGAUGUUGAUGGACGCUGGGUUCAGCCUGGCAUGUUCCAAGAUCUACUCUGUACAUUGCUGAGCCUAUGGCAGGGGAAGUGGUGUGAUUGUCAUGAGACAGGCUAUAGCCUGUACAUCAGCAACAGUGUGGGAUGGUUCCAGAAGGGAGAGCACAGUGGUCCUGGUUUGAGAUGCCUGCUCAGCAAGAACAAACUGGAAGAAAAAGGACUCGGGUGUGGCGGUGUGCCAGGUCUUGGCCCCACUAAGAAAAACCCCUUUUGCCCCAAGGUGCAGGUGCUGGUGAGACCACCACUGAUAUCCAGAGCUCCAAAGGUGAGGACAAGCAUGAGGGUGUGCCGUUUACAUGGGCAUGUCCUGCUCCCUACCUCUCCCCAUCACACCCCGCUGCCCUCACACCCUCUGUCCCCCAGCUCCACAUGCCCCAUCCCACACACACUCCCCACAGGCACGGUGCUGGCAGUGGCGGCCGUCGGCCUCGUCCUCCUGUCUGCAGGCAGCUGGUUUGCCAUCAGGAAAGGUGCCUGCAGAGGGAGAUGCCCAAGGUGAGCACCAAGGGCUGCUGACUGUGGGGUAUGGGGGAGGUAGUUGGGGGCAUAUUGAGGUCGUGGGGUGCUGCUUGGCCAGGGGCAGCAUUCUCUG